CCUACGGGAGGCAGCAGUGAGGAAUAUUGGUCAAUGGGCGGAAGCCUGAACCAGCCAAGUAGCGUGCGGGAUGAAGGCCCUACGGGUCGUAAACCUCUUUUGCACGGGGAUAACACCCUCCACUUGUGGAUGUCUGCAUGUACCGUGCGAAUAAGGGCCGGCUAAGUCCGUGCCAGCAGCCGCGGUAAUACGGAAGGCCCGAGCGUUAUCCGGAUUUAUUGGGCUUAAAGGGCGCGUAGGCGGGCGUUAAAGUCAGCUGUAAAAUCGCGCGGCUCAACCGCGCCCCGCAGUUGAAACUGGAAGCCUUGAGUUCACAACAGGCAGGCGGAAUUCGUGGUGUAGCGGUGAAAUGCAUAGAUAUCACGAGGAACCCCGAUUGCGAAGGCAGCCUGCCGGGGUGCGACUGACGCUGAGGCUCGAAGGUGCGGGUAUCAAACAGGAUUAGAUACCCCAGUAGUC
This 459-nucleotide ribosomal RNA is filed under the name uncultured bacterium. RNAcentral describes it as "partial 16S ribosomal RNA". It matches the Rfam family "Bacterial small subunit ribosomal RNA", at positions 338 to 795 of the family's 1533-position model. The record is from RNAcentral.